Silurus meridionalis is the source of this 1289-nucleotide long non-coding RNA. RefSeq lists it as uncharacterized. The record is from RefSeq and is a predicted model, not a curated record. NCBI's taxonomy places the organism in Eukaryota, Metazoa, Chordata, Actinopteri, Siluriformes, Siluridae. The transcript has 2 exons.
UUUUGUGUUGAUUGUGUGAAAUAUCAGAAAAUGUAUAAUUCCAUGAAUAGGUGUGUUGAAAUGAAUUUCAUCGAUGCACUUGGUAUGUCUGAAGAGUGAAGGAGAAAGUGUUGAAAUGUUGGAGAGAAACGAUUACUUUUAUGGCACGCCAAAACAAAAAAAAAAGAAAGAACGAAUGAAAAAAAAAGGCAGCAGCGGGAUCAGAAGCUGCUGCUCGGGACUCAGGCUGAGGCAUGUCGUCGACUCCGAAAACUAUUUUGACAGAUGGCGGUUGGUGAUAAACGAGAACCCAGGAACGCUGAGAACUAGUUGCUGCAAGUUUGAGAAACCCAGAAAAUCCAUUAUUACAUGUUUAAGAAACCCAUUAUUACAGGUUAUAGAAACCCAAAGAAGCAAGAGGACCCAUUAUUUUAGGUCUGAGAAAUCCAGAAAACCCAUUGCUUUCUGGAUCCCAAAGAACCCAGAAAAUCGAUUAAUACACGUUCAAGGAACUCAGAGAACCCAAAAUUACAGGUCUAAAGAACCCCAAGAGAAUGGAAAAUUAUAACAGGUUAGAAGAACCGAGAGUACCCAUUAUUACAGGUCUGAGAAACCCAAGGAACCCAGAGAACCCAUUAAUACAGGUUAGAUGACCCCAAAGAAUCAAAAGAACACAUUAUUACAGCUCUGAUGAAACCAAAGAAAACGGAGAAUCCAUUAUUACAGGUUAGAAGAAUUUAGAGAACCCAUUAUUACAUGUGUGUGUGUGUGUGUGUGUGUGUGUGUGUGUGUGUGUGUGUGUAUUAAAAGCUGAUUUGCUCUCAUAUCUGGUACUUCAUGAAAAGAAACCAUGCUGCAGAUUGCUUUCAGUGAUGUCUGCAGUUGCUGAUCUUCAGAGGAUCCUCACUGAGUGAUGUGUGAAUCUAAAGCUGAAGACGUUUGAAGUGGCUGUCAAUCAAAACUUCUCCACCGUCUACGUCUACAAGAGCUUUGAAUUCUGGCACAUCGCAGAGACGUUCUGGCAACAAGAAAAAUUGUCUGCUCAACUUUGUCCUUGUGCCAGGUCUGUGUGUGUGUGUGUGUGUGUGUGUGUGUGUGUGUGUGUGUGUGCUGUACAUAUACUCCAUUUGGUCUGAGACGUUGCAUGUCUCUUUAGCUGGUGUCAAUGAGGAAUCAAAGACUGUCGAAAACACGAGUAUGUACACAUCUGCACUACUUUGAUUCCAUCAAAACAAAAUUCAAACCAAUUUCUUCUGAAACUGUAAUAACUGAUCCUAUAUAUCAGUAAAAAAUUCAAGUUUGGUUAUGAA